This is an unclassified non-coding RNA of Fukomys damarensis (Damara mole-rat), 308 nucleotides long. Its record names the gene 7SK. It matches the Rfam family "7SK RNA". From Rfam's summary of the family: 7SK was discovered as an abundant small nuclear RNA in the mid-70s but a possible function has only recently been suggested. NCBI's taxonomy places the organism in Eukaryota, Metazoa, Chordata, Mammalia, Rodentia, Bathyergidae. The record is from Ensembl.
AGAUGUGAGGGUGAUCUGGCUGUGAUAUCUGUCAGCCCAUUGAUCACCAAGGUUGAUUCUGCUGAUCUGUCUGGUUAGGCAAGUGUCCCCUUUCUUCCUCGCUGCGCCAUGUGUGUCCCUCCUGAAGCUGAGUCAAGGAGGACGACCACCCCAGAAAGAGGAGCACCAUUUCCUCCAUCAAGGGUAUACGAGUAGCUGUGCUCCUCUGCUGGAACCUCCAAACAGACUCUUAAAGGAGAGGCUAUCUAGCUAUGCCUAAUGUCAUCACAUGAGCCCUUAAAGGCAGAGAGAUUUCUCCUGUUAGUGGC